CCGCGGAGCGGAGCCGGCGCCGC
This 23-nucleotide microRNA is filed under the name Sus scrofa (pig). RNAcentral describes it as "ssc-mir133". Lineage: Eukaryota; Metazoa; Chordata; Mammalia; Artiodactyla; Suidae. The record is from RNAcentral.